CGCUACAAUGGGCUGUGUUGGCCAAUCAGAGCCAUUAUUAGCAGGUGGUCACGUGACAACCCAGAAGUGAACACGGAAGUAGCAGUCCACGACAUUGCUGUUGUUGCUUUUUAAACAUUUACUCGAAAACAAGCUAGAAGGCUGAAUUUAUUUGGAAAAAGGGGACUGGUGGAGUGUCAUUUCAUGCAACGGUGGAUUGUGACACUGGAGCAAACGUGUGAGUGAGCUGUGCGGCGAUAACGACUCCCGAGGGUCCACACCUAAAUGGACUUCCAGACCACACCAGAAGGGACUUGGGAUCAGGAGCAGACCGAGGCGUCAGGGUGGUGUUCCAGGACCGCAGAAUGUGCUUUGGACACCCCUGCCCUAUGGAGACUGGACCUGGUGAGAUAUGCAGGGACUUUAUGAAAAGUGACAAUGUCUUUUAUUUUGAAGUCCCGCUGUCACACAGAGCUCCCUGGUGCAGAUUCCUGCAUGGUGGUGUAAGAAGCGGAAUAAAAACAUCAUCAUAAUGAGGCGCAACGCACAUCCAUCCUCAUGCUCGUUACGACAUCCAGCCGGCCCUUUAUUACUUUGGAUACCA
Long non-coding RNA from Entelurus aequoreus (snake pipefish), 583 nucleotides. RefSeq lists it as uncharacterized. The transcript has 4 exons. The record is from RefSeq and is a predicted model, not a curated record. Lineage: Eukaryota; Metazoa; Chordata; Actinopteri; Syngnathiformes; Syngnathidae.